RNA transcript from Cucurbita moschata (crookneck pumpkin), 1275 nucleotides. It is a transcript of the gene named rhomboid-like protein 19, with no coding region annotated. NCBI's taxonomy places the organism in Eukaryota, Viridiplantae, Streptophyta, Magnoliopsida, Cucurbitales, Cucurbitaceae. The transcript has 10 exons. The record is from RefSeq and is a predicted model, not a curated record.
CUCACCACACCCAAUAACCCACAUCUCUACGUUUCGGCCCACUCUCUCCUUAACCCAAAAGUCUCAGGCGAAGCCAAACAAUCCAUUUUGAUCCCGCAACUCCGAUCACCGUCAUCCACUGUCCACCGUCUCCGCCCAUGAGUACUCCAGCAGUUCCGGGGAGCUCUGGUUUGUUUACUGGAUUCACCAAGCUAUGCAAGGGCUUAGCCGUCGUGCUAAUUGGCGGGCAUAUCUUGGUUCAGGUUUUUCCUGCGGCUGUUAACUAUCUUGCUCUUAUUCCAGCCAGGACAAUACCUUUUGCCUGGAAUCUCUUAACUGCUGGUUAUGUUGAACAGUCAGUAUAUGGGGUUGUUGUCAGCACAGUUGGUCUUCUUUUUGUUGGGAAGCUGCUUGAACCCAUAUGGGGCUCUAGAGAAUUUUUGAAGUUCAUCUUUAUAGUCAAUUUUCUAACUUCUUUAUGUGUUUUUAUCACAGCGAUUGCCCUGUACUAUAUUACGCAGGAGGAAAUUUAUCUUUAUUUCCCUGUAUCUGGUUUCUAUGGGAUUCUAGCUGGGUUCUUGGUUGGGAUCAAACAAAUCAUACCUGAUCAAGAGUUACCUGUAGUGAAACUAAGAGCUAAGUGGUUACCGUCUCUUGCUGUAUUUGUAUCCAUUGCUGUAAGCUUUUGGACAACUGGGGCAGCAACAUAUCUUCCAACAAUAAUAUUUGGGACAUACAUCAGCUGGAUUUAUCUGAGAUACUGGCAGAGGAAACCUGAAGCAAAACUGAAAGGCGAUCCAAGUGAUGAUUUUGCAUUCUCUACACUCUUCCCUGAACUUUUACGGCCAGUCAUUGAUCCAGUUGCAUCAGUAAUUCAUCGUCUUCUUUGUGGAAGAUCUGAAUCCCCUAACAAUGCUGAGGACUAUACUGCUGGAGGCACCCCGCUGCCCGGUUCAGAUCCCAUUGAGGCAUCUCGAAGGAGAGAACGGGGAGCUAGAGCUUUGGAAGAAAGACUGGCUGCAGCCAGAAGUGCUCAAGAGUCGGGAAGGGAUGCAACGGAUAGCGUCUGAUUGAUUAUAUGUGGUCAUCUGCUAGGGCCUAUGUUUGUUGAUUAACUUGGGGACUGUGCAGUACAUCAAGAGAUUAGCUGCAAACCAGACUUGGUCCAGAUGAAGUAACUUUCAAGAUUCAAGAAUAAUCCCCAAACCGAUGCUCGCCGCCGUCGCCUCCGCCGCCUUUGCUGGCAACGAUGAGGCCGAAGAGGGUGAAGCCCAAAAGCGUAGCAAUGAGCAGCAA